RNAcentral lists this ribosomal RNA (112 nucleotides) under uncultured eukaryote. RNAcentral describes it as "partial small subunit ribosomal RNA". It matches the Rfam family "Eukaryotic small subunit ribosomal RNA", at positions 1676 to 1785 of the family's 1831-position model. The record is from RNAcentral.
UCGCACCUACCGAUUGAAUGGUUCGGUGAAAAAUUCAGACUGCGACCCCGACUCCUUAAUUGGUGACGGGGCUGCGGGAAGAUUUUUAAACCUCAUCAUUUAGAGGAAGGUG